UGGAAACAGUGAUAAAAAUACUACAUGUAUGUAUCCUUCAGAUCUUCAGUCUUCAGUCCUUAUCCAUUUGACAUUCCUUAACAGUAUUUUCUAGGUUUCUUUUUGAAGUACCAUUAUAUAAAGUGGGCAGUAUAGAUUGUGAAGAUUGGAUUUAGCUAUCUCCUGAUUGUAACAAUGAAGAUACUUAGCUCUUUCUUUAUUGUGAAGAUAAAAUUGUAAUCUCCUGGUUGUAACAAUGAAGGUACUUAGCUCUUCCUUUAUGGUGAAGCAAGAAUUGUAAGCUACAAUCUAUUUUUAGAUUUUAACUACAAAAAGGUGUUAAGUAACUACAAAAGGCAAAUUUACCAAAAGAUGUGUUAAGUAACCCAAAAAGAUAAAAUCUAACCAAAGAAGGUGAGAACUAAAGAAUGUGCAGUCCUGGAGAAAAGCAUCUGCUGUGAUUGGUACAGGUGAAAGUUUAGGGGAGAUCACACAAGAGAAAAAGAUCUUUAAAAAGAGGAACAAAAGGCAGGAGAGCAUUUGAUUCAUUUGAUCAUUCAGAUUCAAAUCAUUCAUCCAGACUCAGACAUUUGGACAGUCAUUCAGAGAUUCCACACUGACUUGGAGGAGCACCUGGAAGACCGACCCUUGAGGAGUGAGCAAAAGGCAGACACCCAGACUUCUUUUAGACUGUCACCUUUGAACCAGGGAAGCUCAUUAUCCAGAGUGAAUGUUCUCUUGGUGAAUCAGAAGUAGGACUUCUCUGAUCAGAGUUAUUGACUUGGUCUGCCCCUGGCAUCCAUUUUGAACAUUAAGAUCACCCUGCUGUAAGUCUGUUUUGGUCUCCUCCCUCUGCUUUCUUUGCUUCAGAUAAUUAAUAGAGAACUCUAUAAGUAUUGUGAGGGAUAAGAAGAAAAUGAAUUGUUUUUCUCUUCCAUUGUAGUCGAGGCUUCCCAAUCAAUUUUUUUUAUUUUUAGUUUUUGAAUUGAAAAUUUUUAAUUAAUUAAUUUAGAAUAUUUUUCCAUGGUUCCAUGAUUCAUGUUCCUUCCCUCCCUUCCUUUAUCACCUCCCAGCCAAUGAGCAAUUCCACUGGGUUUUACAUGUGUCAUUGAUUCCUGAUCAGUUAUCAUAAAAAUUCAGCUGAAACAAUAGAAGAAGAAGACUUUAUUAAAUAUCCUUGAGGCUUGGGAUGUGAGCUUAUGUUAGUUUUUCAU
This 1193-nucleotide long non-coding RNA is filed under the name Monodelphis domestica (gray short-tailed opossum). Its description in RNAcentral is "lncRNA (ENSMODG00000045228.1)". Lineage: Eukaryota; Metazoa; Chordata; Mammalia; Didelphimorphia; Didelphidae. The record is from RNAcentral.